Molecule: non-coding RNA, 25 nt
Filed under: Mus musculus (house mouse)
Lineage: Eukaryota; Metazoa; Chordata; Mammalia; Rodentia; Muridae
Also listed under: 1 other name
Source: RNAcentral
UCUCCGAUGCCCAGAUGAUGCAGAC